CCUACGGGAGGCUGCAGUGGGGGAUAUUGCACAAUGGGGGGAACCCUGAUGCAGCGACGCCGCGUGGGUGAAGAAGCGCCUCGGCGCGUAAAGCCCUGUCAGUAGGGAAGAAAAUGACGGUACCUGAAGAAGAAGCACCGGCUAACUACGUGCCAGCAGCCGCGGCAAUACGUAGGGGGCAAGCGUUAUACGGAUUUACUGGGUGUAAAGGGGGCGCAGGCGGCGAUGCAAGCCAGGGGUGAAAGCCCGGGGCCCAACCUCGGGACUGCUCUUGGAACUGCGUGGCUGGAGUGCAGGAGGGGCAGGCGGAAUUCGUGGUGUAGCGGUGAAAUGCGUAGAUAUCAGGAAGAACUCCGGUGGCGAAGGCAGCCUGCUGGACUGCAACUGACGUUGAGGCCCGAAAGCGUGGGGAGCAAACAGGAUUAGAUACCCUUGUAGUC
This 440-nucleotide ribosomal RNA is filed under the name uncultured bacterium. Its description in RNAcentral is "partial 16S ribosomal RNA". It matches the Rfam family "Bacterial small subunit ribosomal RNA", at positions 338 to 795 of the family's 1533-position model. The record is from RNAcentral.